GUAUUAGUAGCUUAAAUGUUAAAGCAUCAGUCUUGUAAACUGAACAACAAAGGUUAAAAUCCCUUCUAAUGCU
Molecule: transfer RNA, 73 nt
Filed under: Fundulopanchax amieti
Lineage: Eukaryota; Metazoa; Chordata; Actinopteri; Cyprinodontiformes; Nothobranchiidae
Description: tRNA-Thr
Rfam family: tRNA
About the family: Transfer RNA (tRNA) molecules are approximately 80 nucleotides in length. Their secondary structure includes four short double-helical elements and three loops (D, anti-codon, and T loops).
Source: RNAcentral